AAAAAAAAAAAAAAGAAGUAAAGACACCUCAGGAAGGAAGUUCCCACUUCAGAAGGGGGAAGCAAAGACCACAACAGCCCCGCUGCCCACAAAGGAACAGUUACAAAGGUCCUCAAGCUAUCCAGGAAAAAAAGAUAUCACUUAAGGGGUCUGCUCCGGCUCCAGAGACCUGCGCUUGACAAGAGAGGCACCGCAGCAGGAAUGACUGACUCCAGAAGGUGCAUGUCCAACCUAUUUUCCUGCCUCCACGAUCUGCAGCAUACAAUCAUGAACAGAAGUCUUGUUUCUGGGUUGAUUUUCUGUUCCUGGCAAACCGGGUGC
Molecule: long non-coding RNA, 321 nt
Organism: Tyto alba (common barn owl)
Lineage: Eukaryota; Metazoa; Chordata; Aves; Strigiformes; Tytonidae
Exons: 3
Source: RefSeq, a predicted model, not a curated record